RNAcentral lists this ribosomal RNA (253 nucleotides) under uncultured bacterium. RNAcentral describes it as "partial 16S ribosomal RNA". It matches the Rfam family "Bacterial small subunit ribosomal RNA", at positions 524 to 776 of the family's 1533-position model. The record is from RNAcentral.
UACGAAGGGGGCUAGCGUUGCUCAGAAUCACUGGGCGUAAAGGGUGCGUAGGCGGGUCUUUAGGUCAGGGGUGAAAUCCUGGAGCUCAACUCCAGAACUGCCUUUGAUACUGGAGAGCUUGAGUCCGGAAGAGGUGAGUGGAACUCCGAGUGUAGAGGUGAAAUUCGUAGAUAUUCGGAAGAACACCAGUGGCGAAGGCGGCUCACUGGUCCGGUACUGACGCUGAGGUGCGAAAGCGUGGGGAGCAAACAGG